AUUGAACGCUGGCGGCAGGCCUAACACAUGCAAGUCGAGCGGAUGAGUGGAGCUUGCUCCAUGAUUCAGCGGCGGACGGGUGAGUAAUGCCUAGGAAUCUGCCUAUUAGUGGGGGACAACGUUUCGAAAGGAACGCUAAUACCGCAUACGUCCUACGGGAGAAAGCAGGGGACCUUCGGGCCUUGCGCUAUUAGAUGAGCCUAGGUCGGAUUAGCUAGUUGGUGAGGUAAUGACUCACCAAGGCGACGAUCCGUAACUGGUCUGAGAGGAUGAUCAGUCACACUGGAACUGAGACACGGUCCAGACUCCUACGGGAGGCAGCAGUGGGGAAUAUUGGACAAUGGGCGAAAGCCUGAUCCAGCCAUGCCGCGUGUGUGAAGAAGGUCUUCGGAUUGUAAAGCACUUUAAGUUGGGAGGAAGGGUUGUACGUUAAUACCGUGCAAUUUUGACGUUACCGACAGAAUAAGCACCGGCUAACUCUGUGCCAGCCGCCGCAGUAA
RNAcentral lists this ribosomal RNA (500 nucleotides) under uncultured bacterium. Its description in RNAcentral is "partial 16S ribosomal RNA". It matches the Rfam family "Bacterial small subunit ribosomal RNA", at positions 30 to 523 of the family's 1533-position model. The record is from RNAcentral.